CCUACGGGAGGCAGCAGUGGGGAAUCUUGCGCAAUGGGCGAAAGCCUGACGCAGCCAUGCCGCGUGAAUGAUGAAGGUCUUAGGAUUGUAAAAUUCUUUCACCGGGGACGAUAAUGACGGUACCCGGAGAAGAAGCCCCGGCUAACUUCGUGCCAGCAGCCGCGGUAAUACGAAGGGGGCUAGCGUUGCUCGGAAUUACUGGGCGUAAAGGGAGCGUAGGCGGAUAGUUUAGUCAGAGGUGAAAGCCCAGGGCUCAACCUUGGAAUUGCCUUUGAUACUGGCUAUCUUGAGUACGGAAGAGGUAUGUGGAACUCCGAGUGUAGAGGUGAAAUUCGUAGAUAUUCGGAAGAACACCAGUGGCGAAGGCGACAUACUGGUCCGUUACUGACGCUGAGGCUCGAAAGCGUGGGGAGCAAACAGGAUUAGAUACCCUGGUAGUCCACGCUGUAAACGAUGAGUGCUAGUUGUCGGCAUGCAUGCAUGUCGGUGACGCAGCUACGCAUAAGACACUCCGCCGUCGGGGAGGUACGGUCGCGAAGAAUUAAAACUUAAAUAGAAGUUAGUACGGACGUGAGACGUGCCGACGGACGACGACGAGGGAGGAGG
RNAcentral lists this ribosomal RNA (606 nucleotides) under uncultured bacterium. RNAcentral describes it as "bacterial SSU rRNA". The stretch from base 1 to 516 matches the Rfam family "Bacterial small subunit ribosomal RNA", at positions 338 to 873 of the family's 1533-position model. The record is from RNAcentral.